CUAUAGAAUGACUCUCAGCUCAACUCGCGCACUGACUGUGCAAAUCUCUCCAGCACUCUGGGUGAGUACUUGGCUGCUGAUGUCCACAACGUCACUGCUCCCUUGUUAUCUGUACCCAAGCCAAGAAAUUUCAGGUUUGCUGCUAUACUUGUAGCACAGCAGCGGAUGAACAGAAGUAUGCUGCAUAAAGCUAAAAGAACAAGGAUAUGCUGCAUGGAACUGCUGAUUUGGUUAUGUAGUGGCACAAGGGAGGCACCAAGCAGCUCAGAGGCUUUCUCAUCCCCACCAAGGACCUGGGAGCUCUGACUGCAGAUUAGAACAGGGAAUUUCCUUGCCCAGAUCUGAGGGUUAUGAUCCAGCAGCAGUAGAGAGGUUACCUUGGGAUGGGCAGUGUCAUUCCUGUUCAGUUAACGCCCCACCUCCCUGAAAUCCUUCCAAACACUCCUCAGGAAUGACUUCAACCACUGUCU
This 470-nucleotide long non-coding RNA is filed under the name Gallus gallus (chicken). Its description in RNAcentral is "long non-coding RNA NONGGAT004404". The record is from RNAcentral. Lineage: Eukaryota; Metazoa; Chordata; Aves; Galliformes; Phasianidae.